AUCCCGGCCCCCGCCGCCAAAACCCUGUGCAUCCUGAACCUGGGAGUGUCCUUUAAAGAAGCCAUACAAGGGAGCUCCCUGAGGUCCUCCCCUAAACGGCCUCUGACUCUCCUACCUGGAAGCAGAGCCCAAGAACGUUGAGCUGAUGAGAGGACUCCGGGCUUGGCCACGUAUGGGAAAGCAGCCUGUUGCAUGUCCAAGAGUGACGCCAUCUUGAAGCAAAACCGCCAUGAUGAUCGAUGUUUGACCCCCACAUACCAAGAAACCACAACCGCUUCCCUGCAGCAUAGAGCCGGCCUCCAGGAACGAACUGUGCCAGCUGUCAAGUCUCAGUUCUCAAGAAAGCCUGUCAGGAAAAAAGUGCAGAGAAGAGAAAGAGACAGCACCCUCGCUUCUCAGAAAUCCUGUGAUUAACAGAUCUGCCUAACGUCUGAAGUCAUGCACUAUUCAUUCGACAAACUGUAAUUGAAAUCCUGCUCUGUGUCCAGCCCUGAGCUGUGUGUGUAGUACUGACAACAUGGCCCCAGCCCUUUCCUCAGGAGACUCAAAGUCCAGGGGCAGAGACAGACACAUCUUCCAGUGUUAUGGUUUGGCUCCGUGUCCCCACCCAAAUCUCAUCUCGAAUUGUAAUCCCCAUGUGUGAGGGAAUGACCGGGUGGGAGGUGAUUGGGUCAUGGGGACGGUUUCUCACUUGCUGUUCUUGUGAUAAUGAGGGAGGUUUCACGAGAUCUGAAGGUUUAAAAGUGGCAGUUUCCCUUGCGCUCUCUCUCUCUCUGUCUCUCUCUCUCUUUCUCUGCUGCCGUCAUGUAAGACAUGCCUUACUUCUCCCUUGACCUUCUGCCAUAAUUGUAAGUUUCCUGAGUCCUCCUCAGCCAUGCAGAAUUGUGAGUCAAUUAAACCUCUUUUCAGUCCAGGCGCAGUGGUUCACACCUGUACUUCCAGCACUUUGGGAGGCCAAAGCAGGCAGAUCAUCUGAGGUCAGGAGUUCAAGACCAUCCUGGCCAACAUGGUGAAACCCAUCUCUCCUGAAAAUGCAAAAAUUAGCCAGGCAUGGUGGUGGACACCUGUAACCUCAGCUACUUGGGAGGCUGAGGCAGGAGAAUCGCUUGAACUGAGGAGGUGGAGGUUACACUGAGCCAACUUCUCUCCACUGCGCUCCAGCCUGGGCAACAGAAUUGCCAGGGAGUUGGAAAAAUCCCCUUGCACUAUGGGCUAUAGACUAGUGGCUGUCACUGCUACUGGAUUCUUUAUCACUGGAAAAGCAGAAAGUUGGGGUGAGUUCCCUGUGAAGUCCCAGACCAGGAGGAUGGAUGUAGGAGGAGGGCCUCUCUUUGUUCUUGUUUUUUGUUUGUUUGGUUGGUUGGUUGGUUGGUUGGUUUGGUUUGGUUUUUGUGGGGUUUUUUGUUUUGUUUUGUUUCUGAGACAAGGUCUUGCUCUGUCACCCAGGCUGGAGUACAAUGUCAUGAUCACAGCUCACUGCAGCCUCAACCUCCCAGGGAUCAAGCUAUCCUCCCACCCCAGCCUCCUGAGUAGCUGGGACUACAGGCGCGUGCCACCACAUACCUGGCUAACUUUUGUAUUUUUUUUGUAGAGACGAGGUUUCACCAUGUUGUCCAGACUGAUCUAGAACUCCUGGGCUCAAGCGAUCCUCCCACUUCGGCCUCCCAAAGUGCUAGAAUUACAGGUGUGAGCCACCGCGCCCGGCCAGGAAAGCCUCUCUUCAACAAGCAUCUCCAGUGUGCCAGGCUCUGGAAGGAGAACUCAAGUCUCUCAUUUUAUGACCCUCCCUUUCCAAAUGGGGAAACUGAGGCUCAGAGGAGACAUGUGACUCCUCCAACAUCACACAGAGGGGAAGGAUGGAAAAGUUUCCUCCCACCUCCAUCCCGUGGGCACCCAGUUCCCUUUCCAGAGGCAAUGGUAUUUAUUACCUUGUGGGUAUUUCUUGACAUGUUCUAGGCAUACGCAAGCAUUUCCACACAGAUUUUUUUUUUUACACAAUAGUGGUACACUGUUCUGUAUCUUAUCUUUUAUUUUACUUAACAUUAUUUUCAAGAUCUUUCCAGAUUAAUACAAAUAGACGUGCCUCAUUUUAUUUAUUUUAUUAAUUAAUUUAUUUUUGAGACAGAGUCUCCCUCUGUCACCUAGGCUAGAGUGCAGUGGCAUGAUCUUGGCUCACCGCAACCUCCACCUCCCAAGUUCAAGCGAUUCUCCUGCCUCAGCCUCCCAAGUCGCUGGGAUUACAGGCACCCGCCACCAUGCCCAGCUAAUUUUUGUAUUUUUAGUAGAGAGGGGGUUUCGCCAUGUUGGCCAGGCUGGUCUCGAACUCCUGACCUCAGGUGAUCCACCCACCUCGGCCUCCCAAAGUGCUGGGAUUACAAGCGUGAACCACUGCGCCCGGCUCAUUUUAUUUUUAUAAUGCCCAUAAAGCAUCAAACUGUGUGAGCACACCAUCAUAAGCAUAACCGGUUCCCUCCUGAUAAACAUUUAGGUUAUUCCUAAUGUUUUGUUAUUCCAAACACUACUGCAAUUAACAUCCUUGGGCAGACCUGACAUCGGCCACAGGCGUCCAUGUCUACAUAUGAGAUAAAUUCCUGAGAAAAAAACCUGCCAAGUCAGAAGCGAUCUGCAUUUGUCAUUUAGAGAGACGUUUCCAAAUUGCACCCCAAUUACCCUCACCUGCAACUGAUUGACCAACCAUUUCUCAAAAGGGCUUUUUGAGCUCUCUCUCUCUCUCUCGCUGUCUCUGUAUUUUUUUAAUGUUUGACAGCAAGAAAAUAGUCAUGUCUUGCUUAUGUAAUUAAAAUUAAACAAGCCCUUCGUUAAAAACACACAAACCCAGGAAGAAGAGAAACCAGCAAGGCCAGUUCAGGCAGAUCCACCCUGCCCCUUGUCACACCUGCCUUGUCCCCAGCAAGUCCUGAAAAAGAGGCUGAAAUCAAUUUCUCACGCAUGGACCUCAGACAUCAAACCUUGGAAAAAAUACAGGAAAGAGAUUUUGUAACUUUCCCCCUCUGUGGCUUUUCAUACGGCUAAAUCCUCUCACUCUCUCUUCCCUUUCUUUCUCCUCCUCCUUUUUCUUCUUUCUCUCACUUCUGUUUUGGUGAGCUGUCAUUAAAAACACUUUAAAGCCA
Molecule: long non-coding RNA, 3131 nt
Organism: Pongo pygmaeus (Bornean orangutan)
Lineage: Eukaryota; Metazoa; Chordata; Mammalia; Primates; Hominidae
Exons: 3
Source: RefSeq, a predicted model, not a curated record